Molecule: ribosomal RNA, 468 nt
Filed under: uncultured bacterium
Lineage: Bacteria
Description: partial 16S ribosomal RNA
Rfam family: Bacterial small subunit ribosomal RNA
Source: RNAcentral
GACGAACGCUGGCGGCGUGCUUAACACAUGCAAGUCGAACGGAAAGGCCCUGCUUUUGUGGGGUGCUCGAGUGGCGAACGGGUGAGUAACACGUGAGUAACCUGCCCUUGACUUUGGGAUAACUUCAGGAAACUGGGGCUAAUACCGGAUAGGAGCUCCUGCUGCAUGGUGGGGGUUGGAAAGUUUCGGCGGUUGGGGAUGGACUCGCGGCUUAUCAGCUUGUUGGUGGGGUAGUGGCUUACCAAGGCUUUGACGGGUAGCCGGCCUGAGAGGGUGACCGGCCACAUUGGGACUGAGAUACGGCCCAGACUCCUACGGGAGGCAGCAGUGGGGAAUAUUGCACAAUGGGCGGAAGCCUGAUGCAGCAACGCCGCGUGCGGGAUGAUGGCCUUCGGGUUGUAAACCGCUUUCGCCUGUGACGAAGCGUGAGUGACGGUAAUGGGUGAAGAAGCACCGGCUAACUACGUG